Molecule: ribosomal RNA, 460 nt
Filed under: uncultured bacterium
Lineage: Bacteria
Description: partial 16S ribosomal RNA
Rfam family: Bacterial small subunit ribosomal RNA
Source: RNAcentral
CCUACGGGUGGCAGCAGUGAGGAAUAUUGGUCAAUGGACGAGAGUCUGAACCAGCCAAGUAGCGUGAAGGAUGACUGCCCUAUGGGUUGUAAACUUCUUUUAUAUGGGAAUAAAAUGUUCCACGUGUGGGAUUUUGUAUGUACCAUAUGAAUAAGGAUCGGCUAACUCCGUGCCAGCAGCCGCGGUAAUACGGAGGAUCCGAGCGUUAUCCGGAUUUAUUGGGUUUAAAGGGAGCGUAGGUGGAUUGUUAAGUCAGUUGUGAAAGUUUGCGGCUCAACCGUAACAUUGAAGUUGAAACUGGCAGUCUUGAGUACAGUAGAGGUGGGCGGAAUUCGUGGUGUAGCGGUGAAAUGCUUAGAUAUCACGAAGAACUCCGAUUGCGAAGGCAGUUCACUGGACUGCAACUGACACUGAGGCUCGAAAGUGUGGGUAUCAAACAGGAUUAGAUACCCCAGUAGUC